RNAcentral lists this ribosomal RNA (450 nucleotides) under uncultured bacterium. RNAcentral's name for it is "partial 16S ribosomal RNA". It matches the Rfam family "Bacterial small subunit ribosomal RNA", at positions 354 to 796 of the family's 1533-position model. The record is from RNAcentral.
GUGGGGAAUCUUCCGCAAUGGACGAAAGUCUGACGGAGCAACGCCGCGUGAGUGAAGAAGGUUUUCGGAUCGUAAAGCUCUUUCGUUAGGGACGAACGUGCUCUUUGUGAAUAAUGAGGAGUAAUGACGGUACCUAAAUAAGAAGCCACGGCUAACUACGUGCCAGCAGCCGCGGUAAUACGUAGGUGGCAAGCGUUGUCCGGAAUUAUUGGGCGUAAAGCGCGCGCAGGCGGGAUAUCAAGUCUGUCGUAAAAGUGCGAGGCUCAACCUCGUGAGGGGAAAGAAACUGGUAUUCUUGAGUGUCGGAGAGGAAAGUGGAAUUCCAAGUGUAGCGGUGAAAUGCGUAGAGAUUUGGAAGAACACCAGUGGCGAAGGCGACUUUCUGGACGAUGUCUGACGCUGAGGCGCGAAAGCUAGGGGAGCGAACGGGAUUAGAUACCCCUGUAGUCC